Molecule: ribosomal RNA, 292 nt
Filed under: uncultured bacterium
Lineage: Bacteria
Description: partial 16S ribosomal RNA
Source: RNAcentral
GGACUACUGGGGUUUCUAAUCCCGUUCGCUCCCCUAGCUUUCGCACCUGAGCGUCAGGUACUUCCCAGGACACUGCCUACGCCUUUGGUGUUCCUCCGGAUAUCUACGCAUUUCACCACUCCACCCGGAAUUCCGUGUCCCUCUGAAGCCCUCAAGUCGGGCAGUUUUCAAAGCACUUCACCAGUUAAGCCGGUGACUGUCACUCCAAACUUACCAGACCGCCUGCGUGCGCUUUACGCCCAGUAACUCCGGACAACGCUUGCCCCCUACGUAUUACCGCGGCUGCUGGCAC